This 68-nucleotide transfer RNA is filed under the name Macaca nemestrina (pig-tailed macaque). RNAcentral describes it as "tRNA-Asp". The record is from RNAcentral. Lineage: Eukaryota; Metazoa; Chordata; Mammalia; Primates; Cercopithecidae.
AAGAUAUUAGAAAAACCAUUUCAUAGUUUUGUCAAAGCUAAAUCAUAGGCCCAACCCUAUAUAUCUUA